This 194-nucleotide ribosomal RNA is filed under the name uncultured Lactobacillus sp. RNAcentral describes it as "partial 16S ribosomal RNA". It matches the Rfam family "Bacterial small subunit ribosomal RNA", at positions 338 to 524 of the family's 1533-position model. The record is from RNAcentral. Lineage: Bacteria; Bacillati; Bacillota; Bacilli; Lactobacillales; Lactobacillaceae.
CCUACGGGAGGCAGCAGUAGGGAAUCUUCCACAAUGGACGAAAGUCUGAUGGAGCAAUGCCGCGUGAGUGAAGAAGGUUUUCGGAUCGUAAAGCUCUGUUGUUGAAGAAGAACAUAUGUGAGAGUAACUGUUCACGUACUGACGGUAUUCAACCAGAAAGCCACGGCUAACUACGUGCCAGCAGCCGCGGUAAU